GUCUACGGGCAAGCCACCCUGAACAAGCCCGAUGUCAAGCUAAGCAGGAUCGGGCCUGGUUAGUGCUUGGAUGGGAGACCACCUAGGAAGACCAGGUGCUGUAGGCA
This 107-nucleotide ribosomal RNA is filed under the name Pteropus alecto (black flying fox). Lineage: Eukaryota; Metazoa; Chordata; Mammalia; Chiroptera; Pteropodidae. The record is from RNAcentral.